Molecule: ribosomal RNA, 1449 nt
Filed under: uncultured organism
Description: SSU rRNA
Rfam family: Bacterial small subunit ribosomal RNA
Source: RNAcentral
GAACGCUAGCUACAGGCUUAACACAUGCAAGUCGAGGGGCAGCAUGGUCUUAGCUUGCUAAGGCCGAUGGCGACCGGCGCACGGGUGAGUAACGCGUAUCCAACCUGCCUUACACUCUUGGACAGCCUUCUGAAAGGGAGAUUAAUACAAGAUGUUAUCAUGAGUAAGCAUUUUCGCAUGAUUAAAGGUUUACCGGUGUAAGAUGGGGAUGCGUUCCAUUAGAUAGUAGGCGGGGUAACGGCCCACCUAGUCUUCGAUGGAUAGGGGUUCUGAGAGGAAGGUCCCCCACAUUGGAACUGAGACACGGUCCAAACUCCUACGGGAGGCAGCAGUGAGGAAUAUUGGUCAAUGGACGAGAGUCUGAACCAGCCAAGUAGCGUGAAGGAUGAAGGUUCUAUGGAUUGUAAACUUCUUUUAUACGGGAAUAAACGAAUCCACGUGUGGAUUUUUGCAUGUACCGUAUGAAUAAGGAUCGGCUAACUCCGUGCCAGCAGCCGCGGUAAUACGGAGGAUCCGAGCGUUAUCCGGAUUUAUUGGGUUUAAAGGGAGCGUAGAUGGGUUGUUAAGUCAGUUGUGAAAGUUUGCGGCUCAACCGUAAAAUUGCAAUUGAUACUGGCAGUCUUGAGUACAGUUGAGGUAGGCGGAAUUCGUGGUGUAGCGGUGAAAUGCUUAGAUAUCACGAAGAACUCCGAUUGCGAAGGCAGCUUACUAACCUGUAACUGACAUUGAUGCUCGAAAGUGUGGGUAUCAAACAGGAUUAGAUACCCUGGUAGUCCACACGGUAAACGAUGAAUACUCGCUGUAGGCGAUAUACAGUCUGCGGCCAAGCGAAAGCAUUAAGUAUUCCACCUGGGGAGUACGCCGGCAACGGUGAAACUCAAAGGAAUUGACGGGGGCCCGCACAAGCGGAGGAACAUGUGGUUUAAUUCGAUGAUACGCGAGGAACCUUACCCGGGCUUAAAUUGCAACCGAAUAUGGCGGAAACGCUAUAGCUAGCAAUAGCGGUUGUGAAGGUGCUGCAUGGUUGUCGUCAGCUCGUGCCGUGAGGUGUCGGCUUAAGUGCCAUAACGAGUGCAACCCUUGCCGAUAGUUACUAACAGGUCAUGCUGAGGACUCUGUCGGGACUGCCAUCGUAAGAUGUGAGGAAGGUGGGGAUGACGUCAAAUUAGCACGGCCCUUACGUCCGGGGCUACACACGUGUUACAAUGGGGGGUACAGAGGGCUGCUACCACGCAAGUGGAUGCCAAUCCCAAAAACCUCUCUCAGUUCGGAUUGAAGUCUGCAACCCGACUUCAUGAAGCUGGAUUCGCUAGUAAUCGCGCAUCAGCCACGGCGCGGUGAAUACGUUCCCGGGCCUUGUACACACCGCCCGUCAAGCCAUGGGAGCCGGGGGUACCUGAAGUGCGUAACCGCAAGGAGCGCCCUAGGGUAAAACUGGUGACUGGGGCU